GACGAACGCUGGCGGCGUGCUUAACACAUGCAAGUCGAACGGAAAGGCCCUGCUUUUGUGGGGUGCUCGAGUGGCGAACGGGUGAGUAACACGGGAGUAACCUGCCUUUGACUUUGGGAUAACUUCAGGAAACUGGGGAUAAUACCGGAUAGGAGCUCCUGCUGCAUGGUGGGGGUUGGAAAGUUUCGGCGGUUGGGGAUGGACUCGCGGCUUAUCAGCUUGUUGGUGGGGUAGUGGCUUACCCAGGCUUUGACGGGUAGCCGGCCUGAGAGGGUGACCGGCCACAUUGGGACUGCGAUACGGCCCAGACUCCUACGGGAGGCAGCAGUGGAGAAUAUUGCACAGUGGGCGGAAGCCUGAUGCAGCAACGCCGCGUGCGGGAUGACGGCCUUCGGGUUGUAAACCGCAUUCGCCUGUGACGAAGCGUGAGUGACGGUAAUGGGUAAAGAAGCACCGGCUAACUACGUG
This 468-nucleotide ribosomal RNA is filed under the name uncultured bacterium. RNAcentral's name for it is "partial 16S ribosomal RNA". It matches the Rfam family "Bacterial small subunit ribosomal RNA", at positions 28 to 507 of the family's 1533-position model. The record is from RNAcentral.